MicroRNA precursor from Loxodonta africana (African savanna elephant), 75 nucleotides. Ensembl annotates it as microRNA 631. Its record names the gene MIR631. The record is from Ensembl. Lineage: Eukaryota; Metazoa; Chordata; Mammalia; Proboscidea; Elephantidae.
GGGGAGCCUGGCUAGACCUGGCCCAGACCUCAGCUAUAUAAGCUGAUGAACUGAGUCAGGGAGCCAAGGCUCUCC